AGUGUGGCCUAGUGGUUAUAAAGUGCUGGGUUAGGACCUGAGAGACCAGGGUUCAAAUCGCUGCUUGGCUA
Non-coding RNA from Podarcis lilfordi (Lilford's wall lizard), 71 nucleotides. Lineage: Eukaryota; Metazoa; Chordata; Lepidosauria; Squamata; Lacertidae. The record is from the annotation of a GenBank genome assembly.